UGCUGUUUCGCUGACGAGUGGCGGACGGGUGAGUAAUGUCUGGGAAACUGCCUGAUGGAGGGGGAUAACUACUGGAAACGGUAGCUAAUACCGCAUAACGUCGCAAGACCAAAGAGGGGGACCUUCGGGCCUCUUGCCAUCGGAUGUGCCCAGAUGGGAUUAGCUAGUAGGUGGGGUAACGGCUCACCUAGGCGACGAUCCCUAGCUGGUCUGAGAGGAUGACCAGCCACACUGGAACUGAGACACGGUCCAGACUCCUACGGGAGGCAGCAGUGGGGAAUAUUGCACAAUGGGCGCAAGCCUGAUGCAGCCAUGCCGCGUGUAUGAAGAAGGCCUUCGGGUUGUAAAGUACUUUCAGCGGGGAGGAAGGGAGUAAAGUUAAUACCUUUACUCACUGACGUUACCCGCAGAAGAAGCACCGGCUAACUCCGUGCCAGCAGCCGCGGUAAUACGGAGGGUGCAAGCGUUAAUCGGAAUUACUGGGCGUAAAGCGCACGCAGGCGGUUUGUUAAGUCAGAUGUGAAAUCCCCGGGCUCAACCUGGGAACUGCAUCUGAUACUGGCAAGCUUGAGUCUCGUAGAGGGGGGUAGAAUUCCAGGUGUAGCGGUGAAAUGCGUAGAGAUCUGGAGGAAUACCGGUGGCGAAGGCGGCCCCCUGGACGAAGACUGACGCUCAGGUGCGAAAGCGUGAGGAGCAAACAGGAUUAGAUACCCUGGUAGUCCACGCCGUAAACGAUGUCGACUUGGAGGUUGU
RNAcentral lists this ribosomal RNA (753 nucleotides) under uncultured bacterium. Its description in RNAcentral is "bacterial SSU rRNA". It matches the Rfam family "Bacterial small subunit ribosomal RNA", at positions 78 to 827 of the family's 1533-position model. The record is from RNAcentral.